AGCGAUCUACCCUGGCGCGGUGCCAAACCUUCAGGGUUGGGUCAGUCGUUUGCACUCAAUCUGCCCGUAUACCGAUCAAACAUGGCGGGAUUUAUCCCGGGCUCGGUGGGAGGCCGGAGGCCCUAGUAAGUCUUGAGUCUUGAUGUAUCCAUGCAUUUUGAUGUAGCUUGUUGUUAGUAGCUUUCUCUAUACCGUGCAUUUUAACAUCUACAUCUAUGCAGGUCUGGGAGGAAUCUUUCUGAUGAGGGAGGUGCCGUGUGUCAGAGGGGUCACUCUGAUGCAUGAUGAGGAGAGGAAGAGGCAGGAGAGCCUAUCGGUUGAGCCACCGGAACACAAGAGGAAUAGAGUGG
RNAcentral lists this long non-coding RNA (350 nucleotides) under Nicotiana tabacum (common tobacco). RNAcentral describes it as "long non-coding RNA (NTAB_LNC008536)". Lineage: Eukaryota; Viridiplantae; Streptophyta; Magnoliopsida; Solanales; Solanaceae. The record is from RNAcentral.